This 106-nucleotide ribosomal RNA is filed under the name Dehalococcoidia bacterium. Lineage: Bacteria; Bacillati; Chloroflexota; Dehalococcoidia. The record is from RNAcentral.
UGGUGGUAAGAGCGCGAUGGACCCACCCGUUCCCAUCCCGAACACGGAAGUGAAACUUCGUAGCGCUGACGAUACUGCAUCUGCAAGGGUGUGGGAAAAUAGGUCC